This 68-nucleotide transfer RNA is filed under the name Alburnus alburnus (bleak). RNAcentral describes it as "tRNA-Cys". It matches the Rfam family "tRNA". From Rfam's summary of the family: Transfer RNA (tRNA) molecules are approximately 80 nucleotides in length. Their secondary structure includes four short double-helical elements and three loops (D, anti-codon, and T loops). Lineage: Eukaryota; Metazoa; Chordata; Actinopteri; Cypriniformes; Leuciscidae. The record is from RNAcentral.
CAGCCCCGUGGUGGAGAACAUAUUGGAUUGCAAAUCCAAAGACGCAGAAUAAUACCCUGCCGGGGCUU